RNAcentral lists this long non-coding RNA (219 nucleotides) under Mytilus galloprovincialis (Mediterranean mussel). The record is from RNAcentral. Lineage: Eukaryota; Metazoa; Mollusca; Bivalvia; Mytilida; Mytilidae.
GAAUUAUUUCUUCACUAUUUCACUUUCAUAACUGAUUGAUCUUUAAGUACUGUUCAUUUGCAUGUUGUUGUGCAUUUAGAAUGACUUUCUUGUGGGCUGAUGAUACUGGCGGGAGGAAAUACAAGCGGUGGUAUCUACUCAGCGAUGUAAAAAAAUUAAACACGUCAUUGAAAACUGUAUGCGACGGAAGCUUUCUAGACUGCCUCUUGAAUCCAAAUA